AGCAGGAUCUGCGGAGCUUAUAUUAACCAACAUCCCUCUGAUUCAUUCAAACUGCUCUUCAGAAUUCCUCCACUCUAUUGCCAUUGACUAAAACAUUAAAAAGAGAGCUACUCUGGUGGACCAAAAAGACAGAAAAAUGAAGCACAGAAGAGGGUGGCCGAGUUCCAGACUCUGGAUCUGUGUUUGUAUGUCUUCACCCUGUUCUUGACUUCAUUCCAUUACUGAGUUGAAGCCAUGGGUGACAACAUAUUUCUUUGCAUGGAAACUGGAAAAGAAGAAUUAUUAUGACAAAGUGGAAGACAGCUCAGUCCAGCAGUGGGAAAACCUUUUACAACCUGGAUAUGCUGGGGUCAGAUGAUUACUGCCACAUGGGCUGUCAUUUCUAGUAUGAAGAAAACCCCAGAAAAUUAACCUUGCUGUGUUCAACUGCCUUAUUGAUUGUCUCUGAAGUCCAUAACCCAUUAAGUAUAUAUUAGCAAGUCUUGUUCUGGACUUAUGGAUUAUCAGUAACUGAAACUGAGCAAGCUCAGCAUAUAUAUGUGUAUGUAUAUAUAUAUAUAUAUUUAUAUUUGUACUUGUUUAUAGCACUUUAUAAAAAGGAGCUAAUCUCACCUGCUUAUCUUACAUGAAGAAGUACUGAAGUACCAGACACACAAAUCUUCAUAACUAGUAUUCGUGUAGCAAAUUUUAAAAGCAGACAUGUAAAAGUGCAAAAUAUAUAAAUCAUCUCUGACAAAUCCAAAGAAAGACUGCUAAAUUUUUUUAAAAAAUACUUUACAAGCUCAAAGGUCAUGCAAAGGUUAUGUUAAGCCAGUUAACAUAAGUGCUCAAGCAUCAUGGGAUCUCGUUCAUAAAUUAAUGUGACCCAGAAAAAGCCUUUGAUCAAAUAAACAUGCUAGGUAAAAGAAAUACAUAGAUGUUGCUGUUUAAUGCAAUACAAAUUGAAGAAGACAUAUUUUAGCUAACUAUAUU
Harpia harpyja (harpy eagle) is the source of this 972-nucleotide long non-coding RNA. RefSeq lists it as uncharacterized. NCBI's taxonomy places the organism in Eukaryota, Metazoa, Chordata, Aves, Accipitriformes, Accipitridae. The record is from RefSeq and is a predicted model, not a curated record. The transcript has 3 exons.